GGGGCAAUAGCAAGAGGAUGGGUAGGGGGUACAGUAGGAGGGGGAAGACUGACGUACCGUCCUACUCUUUCAGAUAAGACUCUUUUAUCGCGUACCUUGCGAUACGAACAAGUAUACAACUUGUCUUCUAUAAAGAUUAAGAAUACUGUAAAUGUUCUGUUUUUCUCUGUUUUUCUCUUUCUUUCUUUCUGUUAUGUCGAAUCAAUGAUUUUUAUUUUUUUCCGAAGUUAAUGUUUCAUUAAUAUAAGUUAUACAUAUGUAUACUUGGUAUACUAUAGUUUUAAUAGUAUAUAUAUAUUUAUAUUAUAUUGUAGUACAGUAUUAUUUAGAGAUAUAUGUAUAUGCAGAGUAGACGGAUAGUUCCUAGGUUUUUAAAAUCUGAUAAAAAAGAAAAAGAUUAAAUAAAUAAUUAACCUAAAAAGUCUAGAAAUAUCGAGUAAUUGAUUUUGAAAAAUCACCUAAGGAGAUUCGACCCACUCUAUGCUACAUAUAACAUACGUACGUACGUAUAUAUAUACUAUACAUAAUAUAAAGAUAUAGUAUGUCUCAUAUUAUAUCAUUUGCAACGUAUGCACUUAUGCAGAUAAAACAGAAAAAGAAAAAGAAAUUAAAGAAAAAACAAAAAAAAAAGGAAAGAUUGAGGUUAUAGAAAAUGUAUUCGAAAGAAAAGGAAAAAAAAGAAGAAGAAAAGAAAGAAAAAAUAUAUAAAUAAAUAAAUGAAAUAAGAAAUAAAAAGACAAAAAAAUAUUUUUUGUUUUUGAAUUGGCAUCAGAAUCAGAGAUAGAAAGUCUGUGUUAUCGUAGAAAAUUUAGCAGUCGGUGGAGUGGAGUGGAGUGGAGUGGAGUGGAAUGGAGUGGAGUGGAAGGAAGGCAAGGCGCCUUUCUCAAAAGACCCAUCGACGGCGAUGCACGUCACGUAAGCCCCGUAGUUCCGAGGGCGCCCGAGCACGCCGUGGAAUACUGGAAUACUAGCGGUGAGAGAAUGUGCAGCGAAUGCUUCGACGUGAAUGAGAACGACGACAUUUUACGGAAACAGCAUUGCUCGUCGCCGCCGCCGCCGCCACCGCCGCCGCCGCCGAGUGUAACUCUUGAAUAUCGAGAACGCACGGGUUCGCGUUACGUGGCUCGCAUUUGUAGACUCUAGUGCGCAGACAGAAUUCGAGAUUGCUAUGUAUCCAAGAGGCACCUUUUAAUUAUUCCUAUAUUUUUAUCUAUUCUAUUUCCUCCUGCCGAUUUAAUACUGCCAGAAAUGUUUUUUAUUUUAUUUAUUUAUUUAUUCAUUUAAUUAAAAAUUGCACAUGAUACACGCGUCAACGAUUUCGUUCUCGAAUUAAUAAAUAUAUAUAUAUAUAUGGUGUGUGUGUAUAUGUAUAUAUAUAUAUAAAUUUCUUUGGAAACACUUUAUACUCGGAAUUUAUUUUUUUAAAUAACAAAAAAAAACACGAAGAUUCGAUAAAAAGAAAUUUGGAAAAAUAUCACGAGAGACUUACUUAUCGUAAUUUCGCUUAUCGUAAUUUACCCAACAUAUGAAACAAACCAAGGAGAAGUAACGGCAAAAAAAAGAUUGCCUCCUGUGAGGUUUGAACUCACGACCCCUGGUUUACGAGACCAGUGCUCUGCCACUGAGCUAAAGAGGCUGACGAUUUCCUUUGUUAAUCCAAAAUUGAUAAGGGCUGCGUCAAAUAUUUGGAUUAUUAUAUAAAAUAUUUCAUUUUUGUUAACAUAUAACGCUCUUUUAUCGUCGUAGUAUUAUAAAAUAAUGAUAUUUUAUUUUCAUAUUCACGUUUGAAAAAAAAAUUUUACAAGGACGCUAUUAAAUGUUGUUUACUUCUUAGGUAUUUAUAUAAGUUAAUAAUUGAUACAUUCAUCGAUCGAUGAUCUAUCUAUCCGAAUGAUGUAAUUAGUUUCGAUUGGACUAAAAAAAAAAAAAAAAAGAAAAAAGAAAGAGGGAAUGGUUUUUAUUUUUCAAUUUUUUUUUCGUUCUUUUUUUUUGCAACUGUUUUUUUCCUUCCAUCUUUAGAACUUAUAUGAACUUAUAAUCUUAAAAAUAAUUCUGUCAUGGCAAUCUUAGAUUUCUUCUUAAGAAAUAGUACGUGACGUAAAGCAGAUGUCAGUCAUCGCGCUUCCUGUUUUACUUGACGAUCACAAUAAAACCCUACUUUUGGGUUCCCUUUACGAGAAAAAAGGGGGAAGGGUCACACGCAACCUCCUCUCUUUUUCUAUGCGACUACGGAAAAGGGACAGAUGUUUUGUACCGUCUUAAAGAUUUUGGAGGGACCCCUUUUCAGUUCUGAGCUCUAUGCUCUUUGAGACGCAAUAAAGGAUCCAACGGAACGUACUCUCUCUCUCUUUCUCUCUCUCUCUCUCUCUCUCUCUCUCUCUCUCUCUCUCUCUCUCUCUCUCUCUCUCUCUCUCUCUCUCUCUCUCUCUGAUGGGACUAUUGUACGAUUAAGCAGAUGUUAUACUAUGAAUGCGCAAUGUAUAACGUGCGACUCGACAAAGGAAUCGAUUUACCUAGGGUUCCACAUAGAUUUUUGCAUUUUCCUCUGCAUUGCCUCUUUUACCAUAGAUAUGUGUAUGUGUGUGUGUGUAUAUAUAUAUGCACGUAAUAUUAAGAAACUACUAUAAUCCUUGUAUCCCUAAAUUUGAAACAUAUAUAAUCUUAUGUCAUAAUUCAUUUGAUCAUGUUUAAUCAUAUUUUAUUUGAUAGAUCCCAUUAUUUUACCAAACCUAAUAAAUCAAAUAAGUACAUAUGUAUAUAUGUAUGUAUGUAUGUGUAUAUAUAUGUAUAUAUAUAUAUCAUCGUUCAAAUCAUCACGUCAUGUUAUUCGAUUCUAUUUCUACUUUUCGCCAAAUCCAAGGAUCUAUCAUCUUUUAAAAAUCUCAUCAACGUAAUAUUAUAUGUACAAACAACGGCGUACGUAUUAACGACUAUCAAAAAAUUUGAACGAAAGAAGAAAACUGACAAUGUUUCAAGGCGAUUAAAAUUCUUGCCUGGUCAUUUCUUAUACAUAUCUUCUUUAUCGACAUUAUUCAGCCAAUUGAAAAGCUUCGAUCUCGUGACGGUAUGAUAAAGUAGAAAGAAGGAACGAAAGAAAAAUAAAAUAAAACAAGAACAGAAACAACAACAAAAGGAAUGGAGGAAUGCACGUAAGCGCAAGCACGUUCGAGAAGUUUCCCGUUGGAUAAAAGCGGACUGACUCGGCACCCCAACGUUCCUCGGGCUCUCCCCCGAUUGUUUUCCGUCCAUACAUAUAUCCAUACAUACGUACGUAUACAUAUACAUGUACAUGUACAUGUACAUGUACACAUAUACGUAGAUAGAUCGUAGGAAGAAGAAGAAUAAGGAGGAGGAGAAGGAGAAGGAGAACGAGAAGGAGAAGGAGGAGAAGAAGAAGAAGAAGAAGAAGAAGAAGAAGAAGAAGAAGAAGAAGACGAGCGAUCUCCGUUCCGUACCCUUGAACCUAGAGAAGAGAGGAACGUUGUGCAGCGUUGCCGUCUCGCAAGAAGACGGCGUCGCGUCGCGUCGCGUCGCGCGUCUCUACACCCUUUCGCCUCCCGUCGUGUCCCGUCGUGUCGCGUCGCGUCGCGUCGUGUCGUGUCGUAUCUCGUCGUAUCGCGCGACCGUCUCUCGAUCGGGCGUAGCCGGCUGCUCUCGGCGCUUCGCGCUUUCUUCGCAAAGAGAAGGAAUUCCUUCGUCGUCGACGGUUGACUGGCGCGAUGCCCGAGUACCGCUGACGUCAGCGUUACGCGGACAGAACCGACGGGGAACGGGAUGAUCGGGUUAUGUAAAAAAAUCAAACAGAAAAAACGAUCGAGUUUACUCUUUUCGAACGAGCACGUUCUUUCUCUUUCUUUCCUUCCUCUUUGCCUUUAACCUCCUUCGCCAUUUUUUUCGCCGAACGUUCAAUUUAGCGGGACGACGAUCGAUCGAUCUAUCUCUAUAAAUUUUAUUAUCGAUAUAAAAUAUCUCGAAGGGACAAUUAAAAGGAAAGAAAAAUUAGAAAAAAAUUUAACAAAAUAAUGCAUUCGUUAUUAUCCGGCAAAAAUCUAUCCGCGUAAGGAAAACAAAUGUUACGAGUUCUCUUCGAUGCACGUGACAAAUUUUCGUCCGAUUGACGAAGAGAACGUUGACCUUGGUCAAGCAGCCAUUACGCGAGCAGCCGUCGGUACUGCGUGUUUUCUUCGCAAAACUUACGUUUCCGCCGACGUUGCCGACGCAGAAGUGACGUCACGCGCGCGCACGGCAGUUGCGUUUACUCGCCGUGUAAUAUUAUGCGAAAAGCAUGGACAACGCGAGACGACGACGACGACGACGACGACGAAACGUGCGCGGUUAUGCGAUUAUUAUAUCGGUGAACGUGAUGACGAUGUCUUAUGGUAUCAUUUUCAGCGUUGUCGGGAAUCUUUUUUCUUUCCUUUUAUUUUUUUCUUCGUUCCUUUUCUCUCUCGCUCUCUCUCUCUAUCUUUUUUUAACUCUAAUGACUUCUAUUUUAAACGUUAUCACGGCGAUUUCAGCGCCAUCGACGAGUAUUUUCCAAAUUAUACCGAUUGUAUGCGAUAAACGUAUCGUUUCGUGUAAUAACUAAUACUACUGUGAGAUAAUUUCACGAACGUUUUUUAUCUCUACUGUGUUUUAUAGUGUGUGUGUAAUCAUAUAUAUACACACACACACAUAUAUAUAUACACAUAAUUAUAUAUACACAUAUGGAACGUUAAAAGAAAAAAAAAGAAAAAAAAAAUUGUUUAAAAAUAACUAAAGAUAAAAAUAUACCUAUCUACUCCUUGACUUCUAUGCAUCUCUCUCUUUUGUCUUUUUGACUUCUCUGCAUCUUUUCCUUCUCUCUCUCUCUCUUUAUCUCUCGUUCACACGCUCAUGUGCCAUUUACGAGGCAAACCGGUUUAUAUACUUUUUGCGAACUCCGGCUUCGCGAGAAUGUUGAUUUUUGCGACAUAUACCGCUGGGAACCUAACCUACAUCGUUACUCGAGUGAGUUGGACGCGGUGCUUGCCGUUUCGAUGCCCUGCAGACCUUGAACAUGUCGAAGGCUUCUUAUACGUUUAUCAUGCUCGAGAUCGUCAUCGAUCAAGUGCACUCUACACAAAAAUAUGUUUGUUCCUACGUGUUGUUUUUUUCUUUUCUUUUCUUUUCUUUAUUUUUAACUAGAGCAUAUUUAUACGAGUAUCAACAAAUUCAAACGAUAUAAUACAUGAAUUAGCACUCGCGAUAGGGAAUGCAACACGUGCCGAUCUCAUGAAUGUUUGUGUGUGCGUGCAUGGAAUGCGUGUGUGUGUGUGAGAGAGAGAGAAAGAGAGAGAGAGAGGGGGAAUGAGAGGAAGAGGAGCGAGAGGCGUGGAAGUAAAAGAGAGGUCGUCGGAUAAGAGGAACCGAUAUGAAAUUUAGUCACGACAGGAACGAGAGUCGAAUCGAACAACGCCAGCGGGGGGGUUAAUUUUUAUUCAAGGCACAUAUACAUCGCCGAAAAUAUUUUUACGUAUCUCUAUGUAAUGCGUACGGCAUACACAUGUGGCCCAUUAGCAGGUUAGGGCGACUAUUGUUCUCUCACUAACCUACAACACUUCAUAGCUCAUUGUCAUGCUUUAUUCGUUAUGUUCCUUCAACGAAGGUGAGAGCUUUUGAUAGCUCGAAAAAAAAAAGAAAAUAAAUUUACUUAACCUCUAAAUUGUAUAUACGAUAACUUGUAUGUAUCAAGAAUAAACAUCGAAUAAAAUGAAAAUAUAAUGAGAAUAAAAUUGAUUUUGGAUA
Molecule: long non-coding RNA, 5766 nt
Organism: Vespula vulgaris
Lineage: Eukaryota; Metazoa; Arthropoda; Insecta; Hymenoptera; Vespidae
Exons: 2
Source: RefSeq, a predicted model, not a curated record